UGCUAGUGUUCUUAGUGCUUGUUC
Molecule: small RNA, 24 nt
Filed under: Arabidopsis thaliana (thale cress)
Lineage: Eukaryota; Viridiplantae; Streptophyta; Magnoliopsida; Brassicales; Brassicaceae
Description: ATSL097220
Source: RNAcentral